CCAAUAGCGUAUAUUAAAGUUGUUGCAGUUAAAAAGCUCGUAGUUGAAUUUCGGGGUUAGUAGGCUGGUCGUGCCUUUGGUAUGUACUGGCUUUACUGAUUCCUCCUUCUUGAAGAACCAUAAUGCCAUUAAUUUGGUGUUGUAGGGAAUCAGGACUGUUACUUUGAAAAAAUUAGAGUGUUUAAAGCAGGCUAACGCUUGAAUACAUUAGCAUGGAAUAAUAGAAUAGGACGUUCGAUCCUAUUUUGUUGGUUUCUAGGAUUGACGUAAUGAUUAAUAGGGAUAGUUGGGGGCAUUAGUAUUCAAUUGUCAGAGGUGAAAUUCUUGGAUUUAUUGAAGACUAACUACUGCGAAAGCAUUUGCCAAGGAUGUUUUCAUUAAUCAAGAACGAAAGUUAGGGGAUCGAAGACGAUCAGAUACCGUCGUAGUCUUAACCAUAAACUAUGCCGACUAGGGAUCGGAUGAUGUUAAUUUUUUAAUGACUCAUUCGGCGCCUUACG
RNAcentral lists this ribosomal RNA (500 nucleotides) under uncultured Glomeromycotina. RNAcentral describes it as "partial small subunit ribosomal RNA". It matches the Rfam family "Eukaryotic small subunit ribosomal RNA", at positions 591 to 1092 of the family's 1831-position model. The record is from RNAcentral. Lineage: Eukaryota; Fungi; Glomeromycota.